CCGCUUGGCGUUUCCAUUUACUACCACAUAUGGUGAUUAGCGGGAGCCUAGUGACCGGCAGUGGGAGAUGAUGGAGCGAAAAAAUAGCACGUCCUCGCUCGCCUGCGACUCAACGUCUUAUAGGAACGCGCUCACCGGCCAAGCACACGCACAGUCGUGGAUGGAAGAACCGAUCACUUCUGACACCAUUGUAAUGAAACAGCAGGGAGCAGGUCUCGAACCCUCGACCUUUCGGGCUAUCGACUGUGCUGCAAAAUCAUGCUCAAGCGGCAGAGUCGAUAUCCGCGCUUAUAAACCCAGGGUUGUUACAAUAAGUUUCACAAAGAUCAAGAAUGUAGCUAACGUUAGCUGUUUAACUUGUGUGUGAAAGUAUAGGAUUGUUCACAAAUGGCGCCUGUGUUGACAUUCAGCAGGCAGCUCCAUUGCAACCAAUAACUAAUUAACCACAAUGUGGCAUUAAGUACAGUAAUCAAAUCCAUUCCUUUGAUGACGUUUAGCUAAUCAGAGUCAGGUCAUGAUCAAUCGAGCUGCCACAUGAUAUUGCUGAGGGAGAGUAAAAUCAAAGAUGUUUUUACAACUAACCCAAUAUAGACCAUAACCAGACGUUUCCAAUGAGCAAAUGAAUCAUACUGGGCAGAGCCAAGCACGCGCUAUUGAGAUCUUAUUUGGACGUUCCCGUUAGGGAACCCCUACUGUGUUAAGUGCGCGGGUGCUAUAACUCAAUUCGCCCUUGCACUCCUAAACUUUGGCAAAGGGUAAAGUCCACAAAAUGCAGUGCACUCUGUUUGUUACAGAUUGUAGUUUUGGAAAUAGAAAACUGUAUGGACAUCAAAUGUUUCAUCAGUGAGAAAAUUAGCCAACAUCUAUUUCGCAGGGAGUAGUGUGAACUUCUGGCUAGAAGGUUCGAGACCAGCUCCCUGGUUCAUUACAUUAUCUUUUAUUUGCGAGGGAGAUGAAAUCUAGACGCUUGAUAUCAGACGUCUUUAUUUAAAGAAUACACCCCAAAAUAGUGUUAACCUUUUUUUCGACAAAGUUUUACUCGUGUAACUAAAUUACGCGUAAAAAACAACAGAAUAAAAAAACACACAAAAGCAACCAAUGUACUUUUUGGAACAUCCCAAUUAGGUUCAGCGAACGUAAGCUUGCGCGUGGCGCAUCGCUGUUGAUAGUCGGUUCAACGUUUUUUCGUGCACUUCAAGCGGGGAAAGUUUGCGCGGCAGUGUGUUUAAUUUAUUCUGUUUUAACGGUUUUACAAAUGGAUAUCCAGAAACAGAGAAACGGAUGUCAAACUUCCACAAGUUUGAAGCUGUCAAAUGGUUAUAUUUUACCUGAAGGUAAAAUGACUCCAAACACACUUUUUGUUGGAGGAAUCGACAUGAAGGUGGACGAGAACGAAAUCCGGGACUUCUUUGCGAGAUUUGGUGCCGUGAAGGAAGUGAAAAUCAUCACUUACCGUGGAGGUAUCUGCAAAGGUUAUGGAUUUGUUUACUUCAAUGAAGACGUCGACAUCCAAACCAUCGUUGAACAACAGAUCAGUUUUAAAGGGAGGAAACUCAAGCUGGGUCCAGCAAUCAUGAAGGAAAGGAGCUCACGUUUCAUGCCGUCUCACCUGGUUGGUCAGGCCCCCUGGAUAACCCCCUCCCAGUACAUCUACUGCACCUGCUGCUCUCCUAUGGGCGGGGGCAUGGCUCAGCCUUCACCUGUACUCAAUGGCGGCAAUCCCUAUUUCCAGCCUUACUCGUACAACGGCUUUCCAGGAGUCAUGAUUCCACAGAUGCCCAUGAGCUACUCGCAAACCGCUUACGCGUACCAGGAAAAGGAUGCAUUUUACCCUGCUCUCCUCUCCCAGUACGCCUCACCACACUGGACUGGGGAGCAGAGGACACGGCUCAUCAACCAGCCGGCUCAUUAUGUGAUGUGAUGCCCCGUUUCCAGAACUUUGUGGACUGCGGAGUCCAGACUCUUCUGACUCUGCUGUAGUCCACAGUCCACUGACCCUCCUGCUGUACCAGGGGGCGACGUCUCCAUGCAGACUGGAGCACAAGGUGACAUCCUGGCCUUUAGAGCUAGCAGCAAUAGACUUUAAAAAUAUACACUUUCAGGAUGCUUUCUCUCUACGACAUCUCUUGCUCACUUUGAGACCCGACCGUGGCGGCUCGACACUUGCACCUGCACCCGAUGGGCGUGGUCACUGUGACCGUGUUUGGCUUGGCUAGGACCAUGGUCCUGGCGUUUGGACCGCUUUCAACCCGUCUCAAACACUGUCACGCAGGGAAGAGCAGAAGUGGUUUUGGAGCUUCAGCUUGUUUACAGCACAGAGCAACGUGUGGGUGUCUGCCUUUUUUUGGGGG
Salmo salar (Atlantic salmon) is the source of this 2351-nucleotide RNA transcript. It is a transcript of the gene named deleted in azoospermia-like, with no coding region annotated. Lineage: Eukaryota; Metazoa; Chordata; Actinopteri; Salmoniformes; Salmonidae. The record is from RefSeq and is a predicted model, not a curated record.